UGCAUAUCAAUAAGCGGAGGAAAAGAAACUAACAAGGAUUCCCCUAGUAACUGCGAGUGAAGCGGGAAAAGCUCAAAUUUAAAAUCUGGUGGCCUCUGGUCAUCCUAGUUGUAAUUUAGAGAAGCGUCUUCCGCGCUGGACCAUGCACAAGUCUCCUGGAAUGGAGCGUCAUAGAGGGUGAGAAUCCCGUCUUUGGCAUGGAUUUACCAGGGCUUCUGUGAUGCGCUCUCGAAGAGUCGAGUUGUUUGGGAAUGCAGCUCAAAAUGGGUGGUGAACUCCAUCUAAAGCUAAAUACUGGCGAGAGACCGAUAGCGAACAAGUACCGUGAGGGAAAGAUGAAAAGCACUUUGGAAAGAGAGUGAAACAGUACGUGAAAUUGUUGAAAGGGAAACGCUUGAAGUCAGUCGCGUCGACCGAGACUCAGCCUCGCCUUGGCUUGGUGUACUUCUCGGCCGACGGGUCAGCGUCAAUUUUACCCCUCGGAUAAUGAUGAGGGAAAGGUAGCACCUUUAUAGGUGUGUUAUAGUCUCUUGUCGCAUGCGAGGAUCGGGAUUGAGGAACUCAGCACGCGCCUUUUGGUGUCGGGGCUUUGGCCCACGCUACGUGCUUAGGAUGCUGGCAUAAUGGCUUUAAACGACCCGUCUUGAAACACGGACCAAGGAGUCUAACAUGCCCGCGAGUGUUCGGGUGGAAAACCCGUGCGCGUAAUGAAAGUAAAAGUUGGGACCUCUGUCGUGGAGGGCACCGACGCCCGGACCAGACCUUCUGUGACGGAUCUGCGGUAGAGCGUGCAUGUUGGGACCCGAAAGAUGGUGAACUAUGCUUGAAUAGGGUGAAGCCAGAGGAAACUCUGGUGGAGGCUCGUAGCGAUUCUGACGUGCAAAUCGAUCGUCAAAUUUGGGUAUAGGGGCGAAAGACUAAUCGAACCAUCU
This 932-nucleotide ribosomal RNA is filed under the name Russula densifolia. RNAcentral's name for it is "eukaryotic LSU rRNA". It matches the Rfam family "Eukaryotic large subunit ribosomal RNA", at positions 37 to 945 of the family's 3401-position model. The record is from RNAcentral. Lineage: Eukaryota; Fungi; Basidiomycota; Agaricomycetes; Russulales; Russulaceae.